UGGGGAAUAUUGCGCAAUGGGCGAAAGCCUGACGCAGCGACGCCGCGUGUGGGAUGACGGCCUUCGGGUUGUAAACCACUGUCGGGAGGGACGAAUGCGCCGCAAGGCGAGUGACGGUACCUCCAAAGGAAGCACCGGCUAACUCCGUGCCAGCAGCCGCGGUAAUACGGAGGGUGCGAGCGUUGUCCGGAAUCACUGGGCGUAAAGGGCGCGUAGGCGGCCUGAGAAGUAGGGGGUGAAAUCCUGCGGCUUAACCGCAGGGCUGCCUUCUAAACUGUCAGGCUAGAGCACAGUAGAGGCAGGUGGAAUUCCCGGUGUAGCGGUGGAAUGCGUAGAGAUCGGGAAGAACAUCAGUGGCGAAGGCGGCCUGCUGGGCUGUUGCUGACGCUGAGGCGCGACAGCGUGGGGAGCAAACAGG
Molecule: ribosomal RNA, 418 nt
Filed under: Bacillota bacterium
Lineage: Bacteria; Bacillati; Bacillota
Description: Firmicutes bacterium partial 16S ribosomal RNA
Rfam family: Bacterial small subunit ribosomal RNA
Source: RNAcentral